RNAcentral lists this ribosomal RNA (1508 nucleotides) under Mycoplasmataceae bacterium. Its description in RNAcentral is "bacterial SSU rRNA". It matches the Rfam family "Bacterial small subunit ribosomal RNA". Lineage: Bacteria; Bacillati; Mycoplasmatota; Mollicutes; Mycoplasmatales; Mycoplasmataceae. The record is from RNAcentral.
UUAUACGAGAGUUUGAUCCUAGCUCAGGAUUAACGCUAGCGGUAUGCAUAACACAUGCAAGUCGAACGGGCAGCAAUGUCCGUGGCAAACGGGUGAGUAAUACGUAUUCAAUCUGCCCCUUUGAGUGGGAUAACCUGGUGAAAAUCGGGACAAUACCACAUAGGAAAUAGAUUGGCAUCAAUUUAUUUUUAAAGUUGGGUUAAACCAACACUAAGGGAUGAGAGUGCGGCUUAUCAGAUUGUUGGUGGGGUAACGGCCUACCAAGUCUAUGACGAGUAACUAUGCUGAGAGGUAGAAUAGUCACAAUGGAACUGAGAUACGGUCCAUACUCCUACGGGAGGCAGCAGUGGGGAAUUUUUCACAAUGGGCGAAAGCCUGAUGGAGCAAUACCGCGUGGUGGAUGAAGGUCUUCGGAUUGUAAACACCUUUUAUUUGGGAAGAACGAUUCACAUAGGAAAUGAUGUGGAAGUGACUGUACCAUUUGAAUAAGUAACGGCUAACUUCGUGCCAGCAGCCGCGGUAAUACGAAGGUUACAAGCGUUAUCCGGAUUAACUGGGUGUAAAGGGAUGCGUAGGUGGAUUGACAAGUCUGGCGUUAAAUGCUACAGCUCAACUGUAGUAUGCGUUGGAAACUGUCAUUCUAGAGUGUGUUAGAGAGUUAUAGAACUCCAUGUGAAGCGGUGGAAUGCGUAGAUAUAUGGAAGAAUACCAGUGGUGAAGACGAUAACUUAGGACAUUACUGACACUUAGGCUCGAAAGUGUGGGGAGCAAAUAGGAUUAGAUACCCUAGUAGUCCACACCGUAAACGAUGAUCAUUAGAUUUUUAUGCUAAGGCAUGAGAAUCGUAGCUAACGCGUUAAAUGAUCCACCUGAGUAGUACAUUCGCAAGAAUGAAACUCAAAACGGAAUUGACGGGGACCAGCACAAAUGGUGGAGCAUGUUGUUUAAUUCGACGAUACACGCAAAACCUUACCUAGGUUUGACAUCCGGGGCAAUGCUAUAGAGAUAUAGCGGAGGCUAACCCCGAGACAGGUGAUGCAUGGUUGUCGUCAGCUCGUGUCGUGAGAUGUUGGGUUAAGUCCCGCAACGAGCGCAACCCCUCGGAAUAGUUAUUUUUCUAUUCCUACAGCUACCGCAAGGUAGAGGAAGGUGGGGACGGCGUCAAAUCUUCAUGUCCUUUAUGCCUAGGGCCACAAACGUGCUACAAUGGUCGAUACAAAGAGUCGCUACUCAGUAAUGAGAUGCUAAUCCCAAAAGUCGGCCUCAGUUCGGAUCGAGGGUUGCAACUCACCCUCGUGAAGUUGGAAUCAUUAGUAAUCGCGUAUAAGUUAUGGCGCGGUGAAUACGUUCUCUGGUCUUGUACACACCGCCCGUCGCACUAUGAGAGCUGUUAAUACUUGAAACCGUCUUGAUAACGCAAGAAUCGGACGUCUAAGGUAGGAAUGGUGAUUGGAGUUAAGUCGUAACAAGGUACCCGUACGAGAACGUGCGGGUGGAAAACCUCCUUU